Molecule: RNA transcript, 3379 nt
Organism: Mus musculus (house mouse)
Lineage: Eukaryota; Metazoa; Chordata; Mammalia; Rodentia; Muridae
Gene: Slc39a13
Gene name: solute carrier family 39 (metal ion transporter), member 13
Exons: 11
Source: RefSeq, marked validated
CGUCGGGUUCCGGACUGUCCCGUGUGACGUGGCUGCACGCCGGGGGUGGCUCCGGGCUGGGGGCCUAGUGGUGGGGCCGGGCGAGGCAGAGCGGGGCGGGGCGCGACACUGCAGCUGGAUGGCCGGGCCCGCCCGGAGCGCUGCAUCUGCUGCCGCUGCCACCUCUGCCACUGCGCGAUGAGGAAACUGAGGCAGUUUCAAGGUCACAGCCAGUAGAAGACGGGGCAGAUCACAUUUAAACUUUCCAGAUUGAACUUCUGGCUUGGUUGACUCACAUCCCCAUCCGGCUGCCAUCAGUCUGCAGAGCACAUUCCUUCUGCGAGUGCUUCAGACCUCCCCUGGCAUUCAGAGGACUUGCAUUCCCUCCUCGAUGCCAGCAGCUACCUGCAUUGUCAAGUUCACCUCAUAUUCAUCGCUGUUAGGGAGCUCUGUUACCUCAUCCAUUCCCUGAUGAGGACACUGAGGCUCAGGCUCAUAAGGGACUACAGUCAGUUAACAAUCUAGAGCACCAAAUUAAUUAGCCAUAAGUUAGUUACCACAGCCUCUGGCUCUGGCAACUGUGAGGCAUCUCUUCUCUUCAGCCCCACCUCUUGUCUCUUGGUGCCCAAGAAUAAGAUCAUUUAGGAGGAAGAGGUUUGGACUAUGACUCAGUUUCCCCACCUGUGUUUCUUUGUACCACGCCAUCAAGCUAAACAGUGCUGGCUUUAGACCCUGGGGUGUCUUUACCGGCACAUUCUGGCAGCCAAGCCUCUCCUGGCAGCUAGAGGCACCCAACAGGGAUGGUCCCUCCUCCGGUGGCUGAAGGAGCCCAGCCAGUGCCUCACCCAGUCAUUAAGGAAAGUUUAGCCUCAGGCGGACACAUUGACACAUAGGCUGGAGCCAGCUCAGAAGGAAAAUAUGUGUGGUUCUUGGGAGACGUGUAGAUGGGCAGAGGGUGCUCCGUGCACCCACCCUGGGGAUUGUUUCCGCUGCAGAGUGAGCAGGAGGGGGAUGCCAUGGCCGGUUGAGAGGUGGGAAGAGACGCUGUGCUUCCUAAGUGGGGUGUGUGGUCCAGGGAGGCAGCUCACGUGAGCAGUCUUUGUGUUUUCUAGCGCCCGGCAUGCCUGGAUGUCCCUGCCCUGGCUGUGGUAUGGCAGGCCAAAGGCUCCUCUUCCUCACUGUCCUUGCCCUGGAGCUCCUGGAAAGGGCUGGAGGUUCCCAGCCAGCCCUCCGGAGCCUGGGGGCUGCAGCUGCCUGUCGCCUGGAUAAUAAAGAAAGCGAGUCCUGGGGGGCUUUGCUGAGUGGGGAGCGACUGGACACCUGGAUCUGCUCCCUCUUGGGCUCUCUCAUGGUUGGGCUCAGUGGGGUUUUCCCCUUGCUGGUCAUUCCCCUGGAGAUGGGGACCCUGUUACAGUCAGAAGCCGGAGCCUGGCGACUGAGGCAGCUGCUCAGCUUUGCCUUAGGUGGACUCCUGGGCAACGUGUUUCUGCACCUGCUGCCGGAGGCGUGGGCCUACACCUGUAACAUCACCCCCGCCACUGGCUUGGCAUGGCCUGUUAGUGCUCCCCCUGCAGGUGGUGAAGGGCAGAGUCUGCAGCGACAGCAACAACUGGGGCUAUGGGUCAUCGCUGGCUUCCUGACCUUCCUGGCGUUGGAGAAGAUGUUCCUCAACAGCAAGGAGGACCCCAGCCAGGCCCCCAGCAAAGACCCCACUGCUGCCGCGCUCAAUGGAGGCCACUGUCUGGCCCAGCCGGCUGCAGAGCCCGGCCUGAGAGCCGUGGUCCGGAACCUCAAAGUCAGUGGCUAUCUCAACCUGCUUGCCAACACCAUAGACAACUUCACUCAUGGGCUGGCUGUGGCUGCCAGCUUCCUUGUGAGCAAAAAGGAUCCUCAAGCUGGAUUUGGAUCCCCUGGAGCCGUAGCUACAGAUCGGGCUUCUGACCACCAUGGCCAUCCUCCUGCAUGAGAUCCCCCAUGAGGUGGGUGACUUUGCUAUCCUGCUCCGGGCUGGCUUUGACCGAUGGACGGCAGCUAAGCUACAGUUUUCUACAGCCCUGGGAGGCCUUCUGGGGGCCUGCUUUGCCAUCUGUACACAGUCCCCCAAAGGAGUAGAGGAGACGGUGGUCUGGAUCCUGCCCUUCACCUCGGGAGGCUUUCUCUAUAUCGCCCUGGUGAAUGUGUUACCUGACCUCUUGGAAGAAGACGACCCGUGGCACUCCCUGCAACAGGUGCUGCUGCUCUGCUCCGGUGUUCUGGUGAUGGUGCUGCUUUCAUUGUUUGUUGAAUAACCACUGCUCACAGCCCACUCUGCACAGCGAGCAAUGAGACUCCAGUCUGUUCUGUGACCAAGUGUGAGAGGCAGAGGGUGAAUGCUAGAGAGGAGCCUCUCACUGCACAGAGGGUGUGUGGUGUGCACACGCAGCCAGAGUGGGAGAGAGACCGACACUGUGACCCCUGGGUGCAGAGCCCAGAGCCCAACGUAGCACCUGCCCAGACACCCCACUGUCACCUAGCAGCAAGGAAUGACAGCACCGGUGCCAGCACAGGCCUCACUUCUCAUUGACAAAGAAACCAGCCCAAGGAGCCCAGGGCUACAGCCCAAAGAGAGGGACAGAGCCCAAAGUUGUUCCUCCUUGGGGCUCUAGCCCAAGAGAGAAAAGAAAAAAACAAACCCUCUGCUUACACAUCUAGGCCCCAAGCACUGUAGAGGCAGAGGCAACACAGCUUUUCCCUGCUGUCCAUUUUCCUUACCCUUCCUACUUACCCCCUCUACAGCCAAAGAAAUGGGAGGUGGGUGCUGUGUAGCCCCAGCCCCGACUCAGCACUGAUGUCCUACCCCUCCCCAACGCUGAGCAGGCAGCUGCUCCAAGACCUCUCUCUAGGGGCAGCCAGCCUGGCUAGCACGUUUCCCCAACAAAUAUUCCCUGGCCACACGGGCAGCUCUCACCACCUCCAGCUGCCAAACAGCAGCCUGCAAGUCAGCAAGUAGUCCAGGCUAGCCGUCUCUCAGCACAGCUCUCCGGGAUGCUCCUGCCAGCACAGGGUCCAGCAGGCAUGCAUGCCCCAGGCAGAGACAGUGAGCCUUGCUGCCCUCUCCAGCUCAGGGGCCCUUGUCCUUUGGGUUAAGAGUAAGAUGGGGGUGGUGAGGGCUCCACAUUGUCAGUGCUCAGGAAUGUGAACUGGAAGAAUGCUGAAGCCAUAAUCCCCAACUAUUUCCCUUGGCUGACACCCAGGUACUCAGCUGGCCCAAUCUACAGCCAGACUCCAGCCCUGCUGCUCAACUGUGGAUGUUAGAGAUGUGGCCACUGAAGAGUCUGACUGAUCCACAGCAGUUAUGCUGUGGCUCAUCUUUAUCUGUAAAUACUUGUUCUGUAGAUAUAAAUAAAUUACUUAGACCGGC